GAAUUCUCACUUCCACUUCGAAGAAAGACUUACAGUCACGCGCCGCCACAACAAAUAAUGCAUACUUGGGAAACAUAGCAAAUGGUUUGGCCGUCCAUUGAAACUUGAUCUGUGAUUGAAAAUUUCCCACCAACUACAAUUCCUUUAAUUAAAUUUUCUGUGGAUUAUAUGGCGGUACUUCUUCAAGUGCUGAAAUAAAACCAGAUUGCAGUCAUUUUAAAACAUUUGGAACAUAGCAGUGUAAUGAGUAUUUCUCUCCAGAAACAAGGGAAAAAAUUUUUUCCAACAUUCAGGUGGAACACGUUGACAAAACUGCCCCAUAUAUCUUUUGAUAUGUUGAUCUAACAUUGGUUAAACAUUUUUUGAUGUUGAACAUUCUUCACUUCAGAAAACCACAAAAAGAUGUUCUCUGCUUUCGUCGCAUCCCUCAGGAAGACAGGUGGAGAGAAGAACCAACUCCUUCGAUCAGUGUCUUCUACAGGUAAAAUCCGUGACCUGUAUUGAGCAGUAUAUAUAUGAUAUGUGAAACUCCUUAAUGAGGUUUAGUUAUUGUCAUAAUCAAAAUUUUCAUCAUCUUUCAUGUACUUCUCUUGCACUGCUGCCACCGUGGGCUGCUUUGUUAAGGCAAACUCCUCUUCCAAAUCACCAACUUAUCAAAUUAUAUUCAACACAGAAAUCCUGUAGCUCAUCUCCUCCAAAUUAAAUGUGAAAAAUUCUUUAAGAACUAUUUAAAUAAAAAAAAAAUAUGAACUCAAUUAUAUGCACAUGGUAAUAUGGCAUGCAAUUUAAUGUAUGGGAAAAAAAAAACACGUCAUGUAAUUUCCAUUUAGUCACGCACACAAGCAGAUAUCUACAGUACAAUUGACUAAUAAAGCAAGGUAAGAUCACCAAUCAGUCACAUAAUUAAAAAGGAAAAUAUCUUAUUCACGCUACUAUUCUCCUGCAUAACUGCAACACUUACAAAUUUCUAAACACAUGGACUGCAUAACUAACACGUAAAUGAGAAGAACCUUGAGUGAUUUGAUGCCAAUUGUUUAAGUUCUCAAAACACGUUCUUCUCAUCGAAGGGUAUCCAUAGUUCCAUACCUUGAAAAUAAUCAGUUUUCAUUGAAAUCACAUCCAUACGAAAAUCUUGUACCACUUACAUACUUAAACCUUGCUGAUUAUUUAACAUAUCAAACUUCAUUUGGUAAAAGAAAAUAAAUAACAAUCUCUUUCAGGAUAACUAAGUUGAAAUUUUUCUGGGGACCACACAAGAAGCAAAUAAAUGUUGAUGUUGUUUGCCAGAGUUGCAAAUAUGCUAUGACAAAAGUUCUAAGAAGUUUUUCAAUUCAUAUCUCAGACAAAACUAACAAAGGGAUAAAAUGUUGAAACACAAUAAGGAUAUCUGUAAUAAUCCCAAUCAACAGGGCGGACUGCAAUUUUGCUGAAUUCAACUGCACUGGCAUCAAUGCCAGCAAAUAUGUACCCAUUGCUUUUGUCUAUCAAUUUCACAAGAUUUCCUACGCUCUCUUUAUCCUGGAUAUCUAAGGUUGCGAAAUCAACUAGACUGUAAUCUUCUAUCACCUCACAUAGCUCCUUUGUAAGUUUUCUGUACUUAGAAGCACGAGGAUCCUGAUCAAGGUGGCACUGCAAAUAUGAUAAGUUUUGAACAUCUGUGUAGAAAUCGAGGUUGAAAGCUAGUUUUCCAUAGCUCUCAAUUAGAUCAAUCUUAGACAAGACAUUAAUGUGAGCGAGUUCCAGAUGAAGCAUAGUUGAUAAGGAGAGAAGCAAUGCACUAAUAUAUUUCCCAGGAUCACUGCAGAGAUGGGCAUCAACUAAAUGUACAACUGUCAACCUAAGGUUCAACUUCUUGAUGAGUUUCAUUAUAACAUUCUUGGCAUUUGAGUGAAGGAAAAAUAAUUCCACCUGACCAGGAAAAUCAAAAAGAAGGUAGUGAUCUUUCAACAGAGGUUCCAAUUUAGAUUGCAACCAGUCGAUAUUCUUCUCCAAAUAAUCCAUGCAAUACACAAGACCUCCAUUGGGACCAAGAGAAUGCUCCAUCAUUACAUCACUUAGCUUAAUGAGAUCCUCAAUAUUCACAGCACAGUCAUAUGGCAACGAAUCAUUUGCAGGAUCCAAAUUGAUGACUGCAACCUUCCUUCCGAUGAGGCUAAGGAACUGAGACAUGCCAUUGCAAUAAGUGGUUUUUCCAGAUCCAGGUGGACCUAUGACUACUUGCCCAAACACCAUCCUAAUUUCACUCACUAAGAAGUUAAGAUUAAGAUUUAGUAGGAAACCAGAAGAAGAGAGAUGAUUCUGCGAGGAUUAAUCUUCGCGGUUCCGUUUUCUGGGGUUUUAGAAAUCACCAGAUGCUAGGGCCACAGUUUAUUUAAGAAUAAGUAAAAAGUCUAAAAUAACCUUAUAUCAAUCUUCCAGCAAGCUAACUCUCAACCCUUUCCUUUUCAAGUUCCUGCCCAAGCCGCAUGUCAUUCCGACCGGCAAAGGUCACCAAUAACCAAUCAAUAACAUAACCAAGCUACAAGAUGAAGCUAUAAUUUGUAACCAAAACUUUUCUUUUUUAAUCAGCUUCUUUUAUGUGCCUUGCAGUUUGCGAAAAAUACAAAUAGAAGGCGGCCUUUGAAUGACUUUUGCCGAUGUUUCAGAGGCAAAUAAUCAAACAGGCGAUAGACAGCCUUCGUAAACAAUCUUGUUCAAAAAUGAAUGAUAAAACUAUAGGGGCAUUCCGAGAAUCGAAC
Molecule: unclassified non-coding RNA, 2738 nt
Filed under: Hevea brasiliensis (rubber tree)
Lineage: Eukaryota; Viridiplantae; Streptophyta; Magnoliopsida; Malpighiales; Euphorbiaceae
Source: RNAcentral